CUGGGAUAUUGAGACAGCUUCAGUGCAAAAGGAGAGCUUUGCUAUGGAAAUACGUAAUAAUAAUAAUAAUAACAAUUAUAUAUAUAUAUAUAUAUUUUUUUUUUUCCAGGCAACCUGAAGCCUAGUUGAUUAAUUUGCCUGCUGGAGAUCAAAGUCUGUAUUUUUCUGCUUCCUUCCCGUAUUUAUCAAAGUAACUGUGACAAGUGACAGUCAAACAACAGUAAUGUCAAAAAGCUUUGAAAUAAAAGCCAAGAUAUGGAUUUGAUUCAAAUGGAUUUGUUGGGAAUCUCUUAAGAAGAUGCAUUUCCUUCUCAGAAAACAAAUGUUAUUGGCCAAAACAGCAGUUCUCGUGAUGUAUCCUUAUCUCAGUGUUUGCAACUUAAAUGUAAUAAUUUGAGGUGUUAAGACUUCCCAGGAGCCAUAUGCCUAUGAAUCAGAUUCAGAAGACUGGUUGGCUGAAACCGAAGUCUUCCAUGCUGAUUGUGAUGUGUGCUGCAAUACACAUGGGAAGUUGUCUUUUUUUUUUUUUUUCCAUAUUUUUCCAUUAGUGCUUCUACUGAAAGACUGCAAGGACUGUCUCUUGUUUUUUCAAAAGCAAGUCAUUCAUUAGGAUGCUUUAUCUUUGCUAAAAGACAUGUUUUCAACUUCAACACGGCCACUGGCCAGAAAAGCAGUUUUUUUUUUUUUUUCCUUUAAAAAAGCGUUGGAAAUCAUCAGUCUGACUCAGGAAGAAGGAUUUCAGUUUCAAAGAGAGAGGCAACUAGCUGACACCUGGAGAUUAUGAAAGUCAUGAAAUUCAGCCAAAAUGAUAAUUAUACUUUUUUGGAAAACAGUCAGGAGUAUGCUAAUUUUGCAUAAAUUAUGGAAUUUUGCAAAGCUUCAUAUGUCCUGUCUUCUGGAGAAACGGAUUCUUCUGCUGAUAGCCAUGUAUAGUUGUUAGUUUAUUGAAAUUUAGUGGAAAGUUUUUGUGCAUUAUGAUCUAUACUUAUCAAAUAAACCACAAAUCCUAAUUAAAAUGGAGUAGUUU
RNAcentral lists this long non-coding RNA (1027 nucleotides) under Anser cygnoides (Swan goose). Its description in RNAcentral is "lncRNA (ENSACDG00005005214.1)". Lineage: Eukaryota; Metazoa; Chordata; Aves; Anseriformes; Anatidae. The record is from RNAcentral.